UGCUUAGAACUAGGCAUUUAAAGAGCCAGUGUGACUACAUUUCUUUCUUUCUUUCUUUCUUUCUUUCUUUCUUUCUUUCUUUCUUUCUUUUUUUUCAGACUCAUAGCAGAGAUGAGCAGUCAAUCUAAAGCACAGAAUCAGCAUGUCUGACCUGGUUUGUAGAUGGGCUACGCUCAGAAUGGCUUCCUGUUAGAGAAAAUAAAUGAGGCAUGAUGUUCAGAAAUGUGCAUAAAUAACUGGAAUGAUCUGUUGGAGAUCUCUUACUGGCGCACAAAAUAAACCUCAGCUACAGAAAUACCACAGUAUGAAGGACCCCCCUCCCUUUGGCGUGCUGAACACCGCAAAGAUGCUUAGGUUGCAGUGCUAACUUCCAGUGGGAUUUGAGCCCGAGGGCUGAAUGUGAAUUGACAGCUGGAGUGCUUUUGAUCAAAAUAAAGCAGAAUAAGUUAUCUGUGCACUUCUGUGCCUGAGAGCUGUGCAAAGAAACUGUGAGCCAAUUGAUUAAGAAUGGUACACUGGAUAAAAUGAAAACAAAAUGGCAUUUCUUUUGUACAACUUUAAAUACAGGACACAAAAUACUGGCUAAUGCAAUGCACCUGUUCAGCAGUUACUAAAUGAUCCGGUCCCUGAAUGUUGUGCUUUGCAAAUCUGUACUACACUCAUGUACUUCAAAUAAAGAUGUUUGGGUCUGUGUUUUAAAAGCAAGGAAAUUAAAUAACUUCUACUAAUUUUGUGGAGCACAGUUGUUUAGCUGAUAAUUUGGUUAAGUAAUCUGGAGGUGUGUCUAAGGGUUCUUAGCAGACCUAGUCUUAGUGCUAAUCAAACUGGAGUAGGCAAUGUUUAAAUCAUUUAAAUUAUAUACUGGGAAGAGAGUGAAAGGUAAUUGCAGAGAAUGUGCUAUGAAAUGUAUGACAAAAUUAAGGCUUUCCAGAAUCAAUAACUAAUACAAAUGAGUUCAAGUGUAUCAAUAAAUAAAUCGUGUCACGACAA
Molecule: long non-coding RNA, 990 nt
Organism: Acipenser ruthenus (sterlet)
Lineage: Eukaryota; Metazoa; Chordata; Actinopteri; Acipenseriformes; Acipenseridae
Exons: 3
Source: RefSeq, a predicted model, not a curated record